RNAcentral lists this ribosomal RNA (464 nucleotides) under Vreelandella stevensii. RNAcentral's name for it is "partial 16S ribosomal RNA". It matches the Rfam family "Bacterial small subunit ribosomal RNA", at positions 338 to 795 of the family's 1533-position model. Lineage: Bacteria; Pseudomonadati; Pseudomonadota; Gammaproteobacteria; Oceanospirillales; Halomonadaceae. The record is from RNAcentral.
CCUACGGGUGGCUGCAGUGGGGAAUAUUGGACAAUGGGCGAAAGCCUGAUCCAGCCAUGCCGCGUGUGUGAAGAAGGCCUUCGGGUUGUAAAGCACUUUCAGUGGGGAAGAAAGCCUUGGGGCUAAUACCCUCGAGGAAGGACAUCACCCACAGAAGAAGCACCGGCUAACUCCGUGCCAGCAGCCGCGGUAAUACGGAGGGUGCGAGCGUUAAUCGGAAUUACUGGGCGUAAAGCGCGCGUAGGCGGUCUGAUAAGCCGGUUGUGAAAGCCCCGGGCUCAACCUGGGAACGGCAUCCGGAACUGUCAGGCUAGAGUGCAGGAGAGGAAGGUAGAAUUCCCGGUGUAGCGGUGAAAUGCGUAGAGAUCGGGAGGAAUACCAGUGGCGAAGGCGGCCUUCUGGACUGACACUGACGCUGAGGUGCGAAAGCGUGGGUAGCAAACAGGAUUGAUACCCGAGUAGUC